CAGCAGCCACGGGAAUACGUAGGUGGCAAGCGUUGUCCGGAAUUAUUGGGCGUAAAGGGCUCGCAGGCGGUUUCUUAAGUCUGAUGUGAAAGCCCCCGGCUCGACCGGGGAGGGUCAUUGGAAACUGGGAAACUUGAGUGCAGAGGAGGAGAGUGGAAUUCCACGUGUAGCGGUGAAAUGCGUAGAGAUGUGGAGGAACGCCAGUGGCGAAGGCGACUCUCUGGUCUGUAACUGACGCUGAGGAGCGAAAGCGUGGGGAGCGAACAGGAUUAGAUACCCGGGUAGUCCCUGUCUCUUAUAU
RNAcentral lists this ribosomal RNA (301 nucleotides) under uncultured bacterium. RNAcentral describes it as "partial 16S ribosomal RNA". It matches the Rfam family "Bacterial small subunit ribosomal RNA", at positions 509 to 809 of the family's 1533-position model. The record is from RNAcentral.